Molecule: long non-coding RNA, 583 nt
Organism: Lolium rigidum
Lineage: Eukaryota; Viridiplantae; Streptophyta; Magnoliopsida; Poales; Poaceae
Exons: 3
Source: RefSeq, a predicted model, not a curated record
UCGCCAUCCCUCCUUCUCCCAUUUUCUGAUCCGUCAAGGAGGAUGCCAUGGCCGCCACUUUGAACUCCAUGGCCAGCGGCGGUUCACAUGCCCAACCGAAGGCCCUAGAUCUGCUCUGAAUUUCCGUUGCUGCACCGCCACUGGAACCUGAGUGGACCACUGCUGCUCCCGGCAUGAUGCGUGCUGAUGCAUAAGAAUGCAGCUGACGCGGGUACUGAACCUGUACGAGGGUGCUUCUGAACUGCAUAUAGUUUGGCAGUCCACAUGCAGGAAAACAUGAAGUGAAUUGGUCAGUAUGAAGAAUUUCAGAGAUGAAAGAACUUUAAGUGCGCAGAAUGCCUUCGGUAAAGGUGGUCACUACUGCUGUUUCAUAGACACCAGCAAGCCCUCGUCCACGUGUUUGGUUCAAAAGUUCUGUUAUUUGGGACACAAAUCUGACUGGCAACGACGUCACCCAUAAAAAUGUAAAAGAAGCAGUUCAGGAUCGACGUUGUGGAAGUUCGUUGGUAGCAACGACGGGUGUCCACCAACAGCUGGUUACUUAUAUCACCUUUUGGGACAGUCCCUUUCUUCCUCUCUAUGU